Molecule: ribosomal RNA, 259 nt
Filed under: Clostridioides difficile
Lineage: Bacteria; Bacillati; Bacillota; Clostridia; Peptostreptococcales; Peptostreptococcaceae
Description: partial 23S ribosomal RNA
Rfam family: Bacterial large subunit ribosomal RNA
Source: RNAcentral
CCCGGGGUGUAACCUGCGUAUCCCCCCCACCGGUCCACACAGACGGGGUGGGUGGGCACCUCGAUGGCCGCUCAUCAAGUCCGGGGGCUGUAGUAGGUCCCAAGGGUUGGGCUGUUCGCCCAUUAAAGUGGUACGCGAGCUGGGUUCAGAACGUCGUGAGACAGUUCGGUCCCUAUCCGUCGCAGGCGUAGGAAAUUUGCGCAGACCUGUCCUUAGUACGAGAGGACCGGGAUGGACGUACCUCUGGUGUACCAGUUGU